AUGUUCAGGAAGGAAUGGGCCCCUGGAAAGAUCAAAAUGAUCUCCUGGUUGCUGCACCAGAAUAGGCUGUGGUGCAACGACAGGUUGCAAAGGAGGGGCUGGCCAAAUGGAUCCUUGUGUGGUUUGUGCUUGUGCAAUUUAGAAACAUCUUUUGACCUGUUUUGGGAAUUUGGAUUGGCAUGCGAGGUUUGGAGUGAGGCGGCCAAAUGGCACGGCUGCGCCGCCUUGAAGACGGAACGGUGGGCUCAUGCCCACAACACUUCUGCGGUGGUGAAAUCAAUCAUCAACGGGAAGGCAAAUGAAGAAAAAAGAGGAAUUAUAUCAAUGGUCAUGCUGAUUUGUUGGGAGCUUUGGCAAGAGCGAAAUGAGGCCAUUUUCAGAAACAAACACCCAACCUCAGGAAGCAUCAUCAGCGCCAUAAGAAAAACCCUAGACCAAUGA
This 441-nucleotide ribosomal RNA is filed under the name Triticum aestivum (bread wheat). Its description in RNAcentral is "partial small subunit ribosomal RNA". The record is from RNAcentral. Lineage: Eukaryota; Viridiplantae; Streptophyta; Magnoliopsida; Poales; Poaceae.